Nasonia vitripennis (jewel wasp) is the source of this 5162-nucleotide long non-coding RNA. RefSeq lists it as uncharacterized. The transcript is spliced from 3 exons. NCBI's taxonomy places the organism in Eukaryota, Metazoa, Arthropoda, Insecta, Hymenoptera, Pteromalidae. The record is from RefSeq and is a predicted model, not a curated record.
GGAGCGUAGUGUAGAAGCCGUCUUUCUAUCUCCCCAUCGGUCGGUCGGAACUCGGACUCGUCGCUGCUGUCCGACGGCACUCGCGGGUUAGUCGUCGCUCGAGACCGUGAGCUCGCGCUACUCUGUACGCGUGUGCAUAUAUAUAUAUAUAUAUAGUCGCCGUCGUUUUUCACUACAUCUGCUGCCGCCGCUACUGGCCGAAUAAAAAGCGACUGCAUCAUCUCCCCACCGUUUUUUGAUCUCCCAGCGAGAACACUGCAUCCUCACUUUCGCUGCUGCGCUCUCCUCUCUUUCUCUCUCUCUCUCUCUCUCUCUCUCUCUCUCUCUCUCUCUGUCGCUCGUUUUUCGUCAAUCGCAGCAGGAGUAAUAACCUAUAGCAGCCGACGACGGACGUGCAUGUAUGUAUGUAUGUACAGACAACACGCACACCACUGUGCAGUCUCUUUCUUUCUCUCUAUCUCUCUCGCUCUCCGACUAUUCUCCGGGCGGAAUAUUCACGAAUAGCGCGUGCGUGUGCAGUCUGCUUUCCGUUCGUGCGUCGGCGUCUAUUGCCUCUCUCUCUCUCUCACUCUCUCUCUCUCUCUCUUUCUCUCUCUCUCUCUCUCUCUCUCUCUCUCUCUCUCUCUCUCUCUCUCUCUCUCUCUCUCUCUCUCUCUCUCUCUCUGAGUAUACAGUAUCAUCUAUAUUCUCCAUUUUUAGCUGCGACCGUGCUACGUGUCGUCGCGUCAGCUGUCCCUCUCUCUCUUCCUCGCUGGCUUAUCGGCGCGCUUAUCAGUGUCUCCGUAUCAAUAAUUUCUCCCGACAGUGCGAGAGGAACGAGCGUCGAUCUGCAGAGCUGAGCUGCUAUAUGCGUGUGCUGCGCGUGCGAGUGCGAGCGAAGCAGUAUAUUUUGUGCAGCAAGCGAUUUUCGGCUGGCAAGUGGAUUUCCGGUGUCGAGCGCGAAGACGGGCUCCAGCUCUCUCUCUCUCUCUCUCUCUCUCCUUUGUUCCUCCCGUCCGGCGCGCGCUGCAGUUGCAUCCUCCCUCCCCGGUAUAUAGGUAUAGCAGAGUAAAACAGCGGCAGCGACGACGGCUUGUUGCCAAGGCCGGCCGGAAAUAAGUCGCGAGUCUCCCACUCGCUCGGGAAAGCGAGAGAGCGCGCGCGGAACUUUGAUAAGAAAAAGAAGAAGAAGAGGAGGAGGAGGAUGGUGAUCGCCGAAAACGAUCUAGUGAAAAAGUGUCUCCUCUCUCCGUCUCGCUAUAUCUAAUAUAGAAACGGACUAUUACUGCCGGUGCGGGCAGGAGGCGGGCGCGGCGCAGGGGGAGGCAGCAGCAGCGCGCACAGGCACCGCCGAGGGGCGGGGAGGAGGAGGUCGUCGCCGCGGGGGGAGAGAGAGAGCGAGAGCGAGAGAGAAAGAAGGACCCGGGUGUGCGUGAGGGCAGUGAUCUCUUGGGGAGCGCCGACCUGACACGAACACGGCCGAUGCGGCUGUAGGACCUGCCUCUGCACACUCUCGCCGUAUAAUGCUCCUUGCUCGCAGCAUCUCUCUUCCGCUCCUGUCAUGUGUGUUGUAGAUCGUGUGCAGCUCCACGUCGAGGGACGCAGUCAUCCAGGACUCGCCGUCAGCCGCUUGUGCAGUAGCAGCGCCCGUACAUAAGAAGCCCUGGUCCCAAAAACUCGAGACAAGAUGCGGCCAAGUGGAAGUGGGAUUGUCUUCGAUGGUGUUCGAGCAAUGUUGAGAAUGGUGAGAUUUAGCUGGAACGAAGCGGCAACAGUGACAGCCAGAUGGCAAGAUGGCACGAAAUUGUCAUAAUCAGCUACUUGAUGACACUAACCCGUAGAUCCGAACUUGUGGGCUUUUUUAUAUGCAUACCGCAAGCUCCUAUCUACCGGUACAUGUAGUCAGGCCGGCGUAAAAUUGACAACGAGACUAAAGACCUUCGAUGCACUGCUAACCAACGAUUCAUUCAUAAUUUGAUUCUUUUGUACUCUGACUUGACUCUUUGCUAUGCGGCUUCUACUAUUACAAUCUGCUGUUUCUUCUAUACGCUCAUAUUGUUAUCUUUUUUGAUAAGUUUAAGACUAAUAUAAGUUCAUAUAAUAAUCUGUAAUUGUGAAUUCAAAGUUUACUGCAUGAAAGGUAUAUCGAAGAUACGAUUGAUUCACGAGAUAUAUCAUUUUUCAAGAGCUUCGCGACUAUAUUGGCGAUUUUGAUUGACUAGUAAAAAUGGUAAACUUGUAUUUGAAACGUAAGAUCUUGAUAAACAAGCUCAAUUCUGUACCUGAACAAUUAAUCAAAGUCACACCCUGGUUGACAGCACUAGAAAAAUAAUUGAGACUCCGAUCUAAGAGGUUCGAAGGAUAAGCUAUUCAAAGUUCAAAAUAUCAUGCACUUUAGACUAUUUAUCUAUUCAAAUAAGAGCUUAAAUACUGUGUACCAACACAAUAGAUAAAAAAGUAUUAAAUUUUUAGCUAAAAAAUAUAGUGCCAUAUUUUUAUUGCUGUUAUCUAACAAUGCUAUGCUACUUUACGCUUAUACGAUAUAGUCGAUAUCAAUUAAAAGAGCAUGAAUUGGCAUUAUAUUAUUACUCUGCAGAGACAGUAAAUUUAGAAAAACUUCAAACUAACUGCACUAUAAUAUAAUAUUAUGCUCCGUCUUUUAAUAUCUUCAAUAUAUAUCACUUAAAUUUCAUUGUUCGAAAUCAUUCAGGCUAUAAUGCUCAAAAGUAUAAACAUUACGAAUAAUACCUAUAAACUAAUUACAUAAUUUAUUUUCAUACCUUGCUGGUCCAGCUACCAAUGGUGGAAGGAUCCGAAGCAAAGUUCAUUUAGGAAUUUAGGAAACAUGUCUUCGAGCUUCUUAAGACAUUAUUCGAGUGCAUACAUGUAAGCAAGAGCGAAUGAAAUUGAAUAUUUCAAUUCGACAUUUUGCAGAAUUACAGUGACUGAUGUCAUUUCGAAAAACAUCUUCUCGAAGAUGUGACACGUUGUCAUAUUUAUAAAUGCGUACGAAAAGCACAAAGAGCAGUUAGAAAAAAAUAGCGGCGACGCCUGGGUGAGGUAGUAGGUUGUAUAGUGGGGAAUGAAAAUUCGUCAUUAUGGAAUCCACUGUACAACUUGCUAACUUUCCCGGUUGUCGGCGCCUCGGCGUUGGACUUCGCAAUGAAGAAGAUGCCAGCCUUGCACUAGAAUAUCGUCGCAUAACGCAAAAAUGAAGCAAGAACUGCAGGGAAAAAGUUACUGAUUAAUCAAAGAUGGACCGGAUGUGCUCCCACUACCCCCUGUCAAAAGAUGAUAAAGAACGCGCACACAUAUACCUAAUUGUUGUUAAAUAUGUACCAUAAAAGUUUGUUAUAAUUUUUUAUAUAUGAGCCAUUACUGGAUACCUGUUUAAGUAUAACGAUUUUUCUCCGCACCUGCACCGAAAGUACCACAUUCCCUCCCGGGCGCCUGGAGAGGAAUGUGCAUUUUCGGUGCUGGUGUGAAGAAAAAUAAUAUACGCACCAUGGGAGGAAAAUUGAACAGCCCAUAUCUCGUGUUUGCCAUUUACGAGAUAUGGACUGUCCAUAGGCACGUAAUAUACUAUCAUGUACGCAGACGUAUGUUUGUUUAGAAUACAACAUACUACAACGUUUUAAAUAUUCCUUAUAUUGUUGAAUAUACUCUAUAUUGAUGUUAUGGGACGUAUGUAUAAUGUAUAUACAUUGUGUGCGUAUAUAGAUCGGAAGCGUAAACUGAGACUGUGUAUUGCUCAUACUGAAUGUUUCAUACAUUCAAUCUAAAAUUUUGCCAUGCGUAGCUAAAAGCGUUGAUUAUGUACCGAUCAAUACAUCGUGUUGAAUGGUAUACUGAUCAUAUAGAUGUUGGUAUGAGUAUCAAUACUGUAAUAUUAAAAAACAUGUUAAAGUUUUGUUGUUAUAAAUAAAUGAUCUAAUGAGAGAAAAAGCGAAUAAUUAUUAUGAAAAUUGUUUUUUCAAUAAUUUAUAGAAAUUUAUAUCAAUUGCAUUUCAAAUAAUUACAGUAUUGAGAUGAAAAUAUAAAGUAACCAUUUUUCGUUAGUCAAUGAAAAUAAAUACUGUAAUCCAUUUACGUCUCGGUAAGUAAGUAAUAUUAAAAAAAAAUCGAAAAUAAGUUAUGCAAAGAAAAUUUUUGUGAACGUAAACAGCCGUAUGAAAACUCAAACUGACCUGCAUUUCGUGUAGCUGGUAAAUCCAUACAUUAUUAUUGCAUUCAACUUAGUGCGUCAUACAGUCCAGUAUAUAAUAAUAUUUUCAGUACAAUAAAUGCCCAAUAAGGAAAAUGUUGAUAAUCAAUUAUGACCGCAAACUAUUGAUCAAACUUUUAAAUCGUGUGUGAAACUUAAAAAGCUCGUAAAGCGUGACAAGACAAAGGUAUUGGCCAACGAAGAGUGGUAAAAUCGAUAGUCUGAGAGAGAGAGAGAGAGAGAGAGAGAGAGAGAGAGAGAGAGAGAGAGAGAGAGAGAGAAAAUCCGAAUGCGACUCCACAGGGGGUAUGAAAGAGUAAAGAGCGAAUGUGAGCCAGAAGAAAAAUUUGGCAAUGUGGCUGGCGGGCAAAUUGAAUAAAGCCUGCCGCCGCGUCGCCGGUUCCCUGAGACCCUAACUUGUGACGUCGCGUACGAUAUCUCACAGGCUAGAUUCUCUGGUAUUGGCGAUGAGUGCUGCCUUUUGACAGAUCAAAAGUCAGUCCUUACAUCAUUAUUUCUUACCUAAAGACGCAUAAUUAGAAAUGUUACGAUAAGCUUGAUUAAUUUGCACUUUUGUGCAAGCGCUUACUUCUAAUACACAUUUUAUUCACCAACCGUUCUUAUUUGUUUAUUUCUUUCUAUUGUGGAUCAGUUUAUGUUUGCAUUUUUCAUGACACGCAUCAAAUUAAAUAUUUGUAUUUGUUACUAUAAUAUUUAAGUUUCACUAUAUUUUUUUUUCUUCAAUUUCUAUGUUUUUUUUUAUCUUUUGAAAUUCUUAUCUGCUGUUGAAAAAUCGGUAUCACCACGAAUCAUUGUGUAGUCAUAAAAAAGAAUAAUGAUACAAUUUUUGUAUUAUAAUAUUAUAAUAUAUCGAGUGGUUCUUAUAUUUUUCAAGUAAACAUUUUCAUAAUAAAAAAUGUAACUUACCUUUUAUUGUGUAUAUGAUUUUCAUAUUAAUAAAUGAUGUAUAGUUGAUAUA